GACAAUGGGCGAAAGCCUGAUCCAGCAAUGCCGCGUGUGUGAAGAAGGCCUUCGGGUUGUAAAGCACUUUUGUCCGGAAAGAAAUCCUUGGCUCUAAUACAGUCGGGGGAUGACGGUACCGGAAGAAUAAGCACCGGCUAACUACGUGCCAGCAGCCGCGGUAAUACGCAGGGUGCGAGCGUUAAUCGGAAUUACUGGGCGUAAAGCGUGCGCAGGCGGUUUGCUAAGACCGAUGUGAAAUCCCCGGGCUCAACCUGGGAACUGCAUUGGUGACUGGCAGGCUAGAGUAUGGCAGAGGGGGGUAGAAUUCCACGUGUAGCAGUGAAAUGCGUAGAGAUGUGGAGGAAUACCGAUGGCGAAGGCAGCCCCCUGGGCCAAUACUGACGCUCAUGCACGAAAGCGUGGGGAGCAAACAGGAUUAGAUACCCUGGUAGUCCACGCCCUAAACGAUGUCAACUAGUUGUUGGGGAUUCAUUUCCUUAGUAACGUAGCUAACGCGUGAAGUUGACCGCCUGGGGAGUACGGUCGCAAGAUUAAAACUCAAAGGAAUUGACGGGGACCCGCACAAGCGGUGGAUGAUGUGGAUUAAUUCGAUGCAACGCGAAAAACCUUAACCUACCCUUGACAUGGUCGGAAUCCCGCUGAGAGGUGGGAGUGCUCGAAAGAGAACCGGCGCACAGGUGCUGCAUGGCUGUCGUCAGCUCGUGGCGUGAGAUGUUGGGUUAAGUCCCGCAACGAGCGCAACCCUUGUCCUUAGUUGCUACGCAAGAGCACUCUAAGGAGACUGCCGGUGACAAACCGGAGGAAGGUGGGGAUGACGUCAAGUCCUCAUGGCCCUUAUGGGUAGGGCUUCACACGUCAUACAAUGGUCGGAACAGAGGGUUGCCAACCCGCGAGGGGGAGCUAAUCCCAGAAAACCGAUCGUAGUCCGGAUUGCACUCUGCAACUCGAGUGCAUGAAGCUGGAAUCGCUAGUAAUCGCGGAUCAGCAUGCCGCGGUGAAUACGUUCCCGGGCCUUGUACACACCGC
Molecule: ribosomal RNA, 1029 nt
Filed under: uncultured Burkholderia sp.
Lineage: Bacteria; Pseudomonadati; Pseudomonadota; Betaproteobacteria; Burkholderiales; Burkholderiaceae
Description: bacterial SSU rRNA
Rfam family: Bacterial small subunit ribosomal RNA
Source: RNAcentral